Long non-coding RNA from Macrobrachium nipponense, 2053 nucleotides. RefSeq lists it as uncharacterized. Lineage: Eukaryota; Metazoa; Arthropoda; Malacostraca; Decapoda; Palaemonidae. The transcript is spliced from 3 exons. The record is from RefSeq and is a predicted model, not a curated record.
CUGUUAAUUGCAGAUGGAAUUUCAGGACUAAUAAGUACGUAACUACAGGCCAUUGUUAGGUGAAGCUUUUAUACAUUUACUGUACAUCAUCUAAGAUGCCUACUGCUCUCAGGUCUUCAAACAGCAAUCACAUUAUGGUCAAUUGUGUAGAAUGCUGCAAUUGGUCGAGCAUAGCCAGAUGCCAUAUUUUCCAUUUGCUUGAACUGUUGGACACAAAGGAGAUUCAUUUGUAAAGGAGUGGGACGAUUAAGCUGAAUUGCUCGCAAGAAGACAGUUUUAUACCACAAAUUCAUCUUGGCGUAAGGUUGUUGGCUGAAUGAAAGGUGUAGUAUUCUUACGGAAUCUGCUGCUUCCCUCUGUUGCUGUGUUCUUAUAAAGUCGGCAGAAAUCAACCACUUCACUUCUGUAAACGUAAAUUUUCCAUAAGAUAAAUAUCAGAGCUAAUCAGUAUGCUUUUCAAAAUAUAUUUGUUGGGAGAAUAAUAUUUUUAGACCAUGGUCUAAUCUUCUUCCCAAUUUGUCUAACAAUUAUGUAUUAUGAAUAUUUAUGAUCUUAACAGCAAAUCCAGGGCCCAGUUUGCGCUAGUAAUUUUACAUUUUUCCUGAUGUUUUAGGUUUUUGCCAAAAUUACUUGAAGCUUGUAGUAACUACACUACUUUUUUGCACAUAUCUUUUUUAAAAAAAACCUUUACUUUACAUUCUUCUUUAAAGUUCUUUACAGAAAUAACGCUUUUAUGGGUCUACUGAGGUGGAAGACAUGAAAAACCACACUGGCAAUAUUGAAAGUUUCUCUCCUCCAUUUGAGAAAGUCAAGAGACAAGGGACAUUGGAGCCAAGACAAGGAAAGUAGUAGCAACUCGUUGAAUUCAACUUUCUUUCACAAGAAAACUAUUUUUGGCGGCUGAAGACCAAGUUUCUCUUCCAUUUGAGAAAAGCCAAGAGAAAAGGGACAUCUUGGAGCAAAGACAAAGUACAUGAAUUUCAGAAGAGAGAAGGGUAAGAAAAGUUUCUUCUCCAUUUGAGAAAGUUAAGAAAAGGGAUAUCUUAAGAGCCAAGACAAGAAGAAUAACAACUCAUCGAAAAUCAACUUGUCGAAAUUCAACUUUCUUACAAGUGAAAGAAGGGCAUGAAAACCGUUCUUGUCGGUAAUCAUCCAGAAGAGGAAGGGCACAAAAACUGCUCUCUACAGCAGCCGUAGGCCGAGCUCUCCUCCAUAAAAGGAAAGUGAAGAGAAAACAUAAAUCGAGAAAAAAAGGGACAUCUUUGGAGCCAAGACAAGUACUAGUAGCAACUCACUGAAAAAUUCAACUUGAUAAUAGUAGAGAGAAAAGUAAGAAACUCUCUUCAGCAGCCGAUGACCAAGUUUCUCCUCCAUUUGAGAAACUCAAGAGAACUAUCUGUAUUCUUCCUUUAAAAUAAGAAAAGGUCAAGUGACAUCUUAAGAGUAGAGACAAGAAUAUUAGCAACCCCUUGAAAUUAAACUUUCUUACAAGAGAGAGAACUUCAAGAAAACUGUUCUACUCUGAGGUCGUCUAUCUGAGAAAAGACAAGAGAAAACAAAUCUUAAGAGCGCAGACGACAAAAGCAAGGCAUCUAAAUUCAAUUUUCUUACAGAGUGGGAAGGGUACGAAAAACUGCUCUCUUCAGCAGCCAAUGCCAGAGUUUCUCCUCCAUUUGAGAAGACCAGAGAAAUUUUCAGUUCAAGAAAACUGAGUCAAGACAAGGAUAUAGUUGUAGCGACUCUUCUCUCUUUUGUAAGAAAACUGUCACAGCCGGACCAAGUGACUGACUGAAUAGCUUGGGGUUAAUUUCCAUUCAUCCCGCCAUCUUUUGACCUUGAGAUUAAAUCCUUUGUUGCAGUUUGAAGACUGUAUACCUGGAAAAAAUAAAAAGAAUUCUGAAUUUUCAUUAAAACUCUUGGAUGAGGAAAAAUACAUUAAAAGUUCUAUAGAAUUAAGCGGUAUGGAACCACAUCCAAAUGAUCAGCUACUAGUAUGGAAAUAAUUUCACGUCCAUACGAGAUGUAAAGUAAUUUCCUACAGCAAAGACUAAUC